UAGGGAAUAUUGCACAAUGGGGGAAACCCUGAUGCAGCGACGCCGCGUGAAGGAAGAAGUAUCUCGGUAUGUAAACUUCUAUCAGCAGGGAAGACAAUGACGGUACCUGACUAAGAAGCCCCGGCUAACUACGUGCCAGCAGCCGCGGUAAUACGUAGGGGCGAAGCGUUAUCCGGAUUUACUGGGUGUAAAGGGAGCGUAGACGGAUCUGCAAGUCUGGAGUGAAAGCCCGGGCGUCAACCCAGGCAGGCGUUGAAUUGAACUGUGGAUCUAGAGUGCCGGAGAGGUAAGCGGAAUUCCUAGUGUAGCGGUGAAAUGCGUAGAUAUUAGGAGGAACACCAGUGGCGAAGGCGGCUUACUGGACGGUAACUGACGUUGAGGCUCGAAAAGCGUGGGAGCAAACAAGGAUUAGAUACC
This 417-nucleotide ribosomal RNA is filed under the name uncultured bacterium. RNAcentral describes it as "bacterial SSU rRNA". It matches the Rfam family "Bacterial small subunit ribosomal RNA", at positions 355 to 786 of the family's 1533-position model. The record is from RNAcentral.